GGGUUUGUUAACACGCGUAUGCCUGUUUUUCAGUUGGUACGUUUUAACAAUGUGUACCGAAUUAUAGUAAACAAAAUUACCUUCAUUUAUGAUGGAUUUUAAGUUUUAAGGUCAAUUUUCAUUCUCAAAACUUAAAAAAAAAAAAAACACCCAAACUCUUACUCACCUCCCUCAUUCCUCUCAACCUUUUCUCUUUCAUCUCUCUCACUCCAACAUUUUCUCUGUCAUCCCUACUGUUGCCCUAAUUGAAAAAAAUCAUCAGAAACUCUUGCCUAACCCUAAUCCACCUUCCUCACUUAUCCAAUUGAAUC
RNAcentral lists this long non-coding RNA (311 nucleotides) under Vigna radiata. RNAcentral's name for it is "long non-coding RNA (VRAD_LNC013807)". The record is from RNAcentral. Lineage: Eukaryota; Viridiplantae; Streptophyta; Magnoliopsida; Fabales; Fabaceae.